Molecule: unclassified non-coding RNA, 243 nt
Filed under: Hevea brasiliensis (rubber tree)
Lineage: Eukaryota; Viridiplantae; Streptophyta; Magnoliopsida; Malpighiales; Euphorbiaceae
Source: RNAcentral
GCAUUCCUCUGCAGUGGAAAUCAUAACUAUAUCAAUUGAUUCUCUAUUUGGUUGUUGCAAAGAAAAUCCAUGAAAAAAAACAAUAAAUCAAAACUUCAAAUAUUUUAUAUGCCCAGCCAGAUGAACCCUGAGUCAACUGAGCCCUCCUCCAACUAGAGCCCAAGAAGCAAGGCGACAAGAACGAAAACCGUGGGAGGUAUUCCACUAUUUUCUCUCUCCCUUUCUUGGAAUGCAAACAGAGAA